Molecule: ribosomal RNA, 253 nt
Filed under: uncultured bacterium
Lineage: Bacteria
Description: partial 16S ribosomal RNA
Rfam family: Bacterial small subunit ribosomal RNA
Source: RNAcentral
UACAGAGGGUGCGAGCGUUGCCCGGAAUUACUGGGCGUAAAGGGGACGUAGGCGGUUAAUCAAGUCAGGUGUGAAAUGUCACGGCUUAACUGUGGAAUAGCGCUUGAAACUGAAUAACUUGAGGACACUAGAGGAAGACGGAAUUACCUGAGUAGGGGUGAAAUCCGUAGAUACAGGUAAGAAGGCCAGUGGUGAAGACGGUUUUCUGGGGUGAUCCUGACGCUGAGGUCCGAAAGCUAGGGUAGCAAACCGG